Molecule: transfer-messenger RNA, 369 nt
Filed under: Chitinophagales
Lineage: Bacteria; Pseudomonadati; Bacteroidota; Chitinophagia
Also listed under: 1 other name
Description: JACCZZ01 sp013695715 Standard tmRNA
Rfam family: transfer-messenger RNA
About the family: Bacterial tmRNA, also known as 10Sa RNA or SsrA, is named for its dual tRNA and mRNA-like properties.
Source: RNAcentral
GGGGCUGACCGGAAUUGACAGCAUCGUUCUUUGUAAGUAAGCAUGUGGUGCAUUGGGAGCCAAGCACCUGAAUCUUUAACUCCCGACGCCAUACUUGGCAACUCUAAUUACGCAAUGGCUGCCUAAUCGCAACGCGGUUACAGCUGUUUGUUCCCUGCGGAUUGCGCCUGACAAGCUGCUACGGAACAUCGAAAAGUCAGGCUGGCGGUGAUUUGGUUUCUUGAUCUGCCGCAAGAAAAUACAGAAACUAAGAAGCCUGGUCGGGCGCCUUUCCCCAGCCAGCUUCCGACAAUCAAUGAAAGGAUAAACAUGUAGAAAGCUUACGAUCGCCUUGUCUGGACGAGGGUUCAAAUCCCUCCAGCUCCACAA